CCCACAUGGUUCCAGCACAACCAAACCUCCCCCCUCUCCCAAGAGUCAGCGAUGGGGCUGGGAGCAGUGCUCUCAGGAAGGCUCCUGGGGGAACAGACGCAGUGAUUACCUAAAUUACUUUCUAAUAGCUUUUAUCUCCUAAUUUCUACUUUGUCAAGUGUUAAAAUCCAUUAAUAACCAAGAGACCAUAUGGAAAAACAUUUAACAUCCCAGCUGCCAAGAGCUCCCACCUCCGUCACGCUCCAGCAAGGUUGAGGGAGAGGGGAAAAAAAAAAAUGAAUGAUGAUUAUUUUUUUAAUCUUAAACCCAGCUGGACCAGCACAUGCAUUUGCUGAUUAACAGUGAUUGGGGAAAACCCAUGUAUAAAGCUGGGGACUCCACACUUCUCAGCCAGGCCGUGCUGAGGUUCUUAGCAAACAUUUCCAAGCAGAGGAUGAAAAUAGAAUCCUACAUCCCAACCAGAGGUUGUUGCCUGGGAAACCAGGAAUAUAGGGGCACGGGUCUGGCCAGCUGCUCAGGGCUUGCUGGAGGGUCAAGGGCACUGCUGGAAGAAGGCAGGCACGAGGAAAACGUUGAGGUACAGCAGUUGGUGCCACACAUGAUGUCCAGGCAACUGGAGGGGUCUUGCCCCCCUGGAAAUGCUUCCAAAGCAACGACCUUCACACCAAAGAAGCCCAGCUGGAAGAUCCAUCCAGCCUUGGAGACACAGAGCUCCCCAGCAGUCACACCAGCCCUCACACCCACUUCUUGCUCACCCCAGCCAGCCCUGGGAGGUUCCCACCAGCUCCAUCUCCCAGAGCUGCUGUGCCAAGGUCCCCAGGGAUGGGCCAUUGGCUGAAGCAAUGCCCAGCACAUCCAGGACAGUCACACCAGCUGAAGGAUGGCCAGAGCACGGCCAUCCCCCACUAAGACCAGCAGUGACAUUUGCACAGUGCUCCUGGCAGCCUCGGAGCCGCCGCAGCAGCUGGCUUUAAGCACUUUUCAUCUAAUUCAAUGAAAAUGAGCUGUUUGAGUGAAUGAAGAUAAUUUAAUAAUGAAUAGCUCCAACUUAUCGGAGAAGCUCUCUCCGUUCCUGCCUGACAGUCGCUGCCUCUAAGUGCAAUUUAAUAAGGGAAUCACCAUCACUCAGCCCUGUGGUUGGAAAUCUGCACUCGGGGAAAGGUUUCCACACUCCCUAAAAGCUGGCGCUGUUUCUCGAAGAGCCUAAAAUCUGAAGCCAUCUGGGGGGCUUCAAGGCAUAAGGGUGCUGCAGUGCUUUCUGCCACCCCAUGCCACCAUCCCCAGCUGGCACACCACAUGCUGCUGCAGGAACAGGGAUGUGCCAUGCAGACAAGCUCAGUCAGGACCUGCAGCACCCAGGUGGGGGACACUGAUGCUCCUCAGCAGCGCAUGGAUGUGCACCCCCAGUCAUUCUGUUCCUGCAGAACACCCUUCCUGGGGACAGCAGGAAUCUGCAUUCCACUGAGCAUCAAUCCGGGCAGCAGGGGUCUCAUUCUGCACGCUGCUGGGGCUGUCAGCACAGGGAUGCUAGUCCUGGGAAUUCCUGCUGACACCUGCCGGUGCUGGGUGCUUAAUUAUUAAUUGCAUUUCCCAAAGCAAUUGUUGCUCACGCUGAUGGAGCUGGACAAAACAUCGCAAGCAAUUAGUAACCCCUCCGCUCCAUUUCACCAGUACCUGCUUAACGUCCCGCUCACAUCCUCCUCCAGUGGCUGCAGAAGGAGGAAGAUCCCACAGGCAUCUCCUCAGCUCUGGGCUUUGCUUGUGGCACAGAGCAGAGCUGUCUUGGGGCCAAGCUUCGGCCACAGCUCAGGUGUUGGACCAAAUUAAUUUUUAUUAUA
Numida meleagris (helmeted guineafowl) is the source of this 1838-nucleotide long non-coding RNA. The record is from Ensembl. NCBI's taxonomy places the organism in Eukaryota, Metazoa, Chordata, Aves, Galliformes, Numididae.